This 1031-nucleotide ribosomal RNA is filed under the name Proteus vulgaris. RNAcentral's name for it is "bacterial SSU rRNA". It matches the Rfam family "Bacterial small subunit ribosomal RNA", at positions 159 to 1216 of the family's 1533-position model. Lineage: Bacteria; Pseudomonadati; Pseudomonadota; Gammaproteobacteria; Enterobacterales; Morganellaceae. The record is from RNAcentral.
GUGGCUAAUACCGCAUGACGUCUACGGACCAAAGCAGGGCUCUUCGGACCUGCGCUAUCGGAUGAACCCAUAUGGGAUUAGCUAGUAGGUGAGGUAAUGGCUCACCUAGCAACAUCUCUAGCUGGUCUGAGAGGAUGAUCAGCCACACUGGGACUGAGACACGGCCCAGACUCCUGGGAGGCAGCAGUGGGGAAUAUUGCACAAUGGGCGCAAGCCUGAUGCAGCCAUGCCGUGUAUGAAGAAGGCCUUAGGGUUGUAAAGUACUUUCAGCGGGGAGGAAGGUGAUAAAGUUAAUACCUUUGUCAAUUCGUUACCCGCAGAAGAAGCACCGGCUAACUCCGUGCCAGCAGCCGCGGUAAUACGGAGGGUGCAAGCGUUAAUCGGAAUUACUGGGUAAAGCGCACGCAGGCGGUCAAUUAAGUCAGAUGUGAAAGCCCCGAGCUUAACUUGGGAAUUGUCUGAAACUGGUUGGCUAGAGUCUUGUAGAGGGGGGUAGAAUUCCACGUAGCGGUGAAAUGCGUAGAGAUGUGGAGGAAUACCGGUGGCGAAGGCGGCCCCCUGGACAAAGACUGACGCUCAGGUGCGAAAGCGUGGGGAGCAAACAGGAUUAUACCCUGGUAGUCCACGCUGUAAACGAUGUCGAUUUAGAGGUUGUGGUCUUGAACUGUGGCUUGGAGCUAACGCGUUAAAUCGACCGCCUGGGGAGUACGGCCGCAAGGUUAAAACUCAAAUGUUGACGGGGGCCCGCACAAGCGGUGGAGCAUGUGGUAAUUCGAUGCAACGCGAAGAACCUUACCUACUCUUGACAUCCAGCGAAUCCUUUAGAGAUAGAGGAGUGCCUUCGGGAACGCUGAGACAUGCUGCAUGGCUGUCGUCAGCUCGUGUUGUGAAAUGUUGGGUUAAGUCCCGCAACGAGCGCAACCCUUAUCCUUUGUUGCCAGCGUAAUGGCGGGAACUCAAAGGAGACUGCCGGUGAUAAACCGGAGGAAGGUGGAUGACGUCAAGUCAUCAUGGCCCUUACGAGUGGGCUA